GAUGAAGAACGUAGCGAAAUGCGAUACGUAGUGUGAAUUGCAGAAUUCAGUGAAUCAUCGAAUCUUUGAACGCACAUUGCACCUCUCAGUAUUCCGGGAGGUAUGCCUGUUCGAGCGUCAUUUGUACCCUCAAGCUCUGCUUGGUGUUGGGUGUUUGUUCCGCCUCUGUGUGUGAACUCGCCUCAAAACAAUUGGCAGCCGGCGUACUUGUUUCGGAGCGCAGCACGUUUUGCGAUCCAGAUCAACGUACAGCGGCAUCCAAGAAGCCUUAUUUAACGCUCUUGACCUCGGAUCAGGUAGGGAUACCCGCUGAACUUAAGCAUAUCAAUAAGCGGAGGA
RNAcentral lists this unclassified non-coding RNA (339 nucleotides) under soil metagenome. RNAcentral's name for it is "partial contains 5.8S ribosomal RNA, internal transcribed spacer 2, and large subunit ribosomal RNA". The stretch from base 1 to 120 matches the Rfam family "5.8S ribosomal RNA", at positions 35 to 154 of the family's 154-position model. The record is from RNAcentral.